RNAcentral lists this ribosomal RNA (443 nucleotides) under uncultured soil bacterium. RNAcentral's name for it is "bacterial SSU rRNA". It matches the Rfam family "Bacterial small subunit ribosomal RNA", at positions 26 to 518 of the family's 1533-position model. The record is from RNAcentral.
AGAGCGAACGCUGGCGGCAGGCCUAACACAUGCAAGUCGAACGGACUCUUCGGAGUUAGUGGCGGACGGGUGAGUAACACGUGGGAACGUGCCUUUAGGUUCGGAAUAGCUCCUGGAAACGGGUGGUAAUGCCGAAUGUGCCCUUCGGGGGAAAGAUUUAUCGCCUUUAGAGCGGCCCGCGUCUGAUUAGCUAGUUGGUGAGGCAAAGGCUCACCAAGGCUACGAUCAGUAGCUGGUCUGAGAGGAUGACCAGCCACAUUGGGACUGAGACACGGCCCAAACUCCUACGGGAGGCAGCAGUGGGAAUCUUGCGCAAUGGGCGAAAGCCUGACGCAGCCAUGCCGCGUGAAUGAUGAAGGUCUUAGGAUUGUAAAAUUCUUUCAGUAGGACGAUAAUGACGGUACUACAGAAGAAGCCCCGGAUAACUUCGUGCCAGCAGCCGC